RNAcentral lists this ribosomal RNA (468 nucleotides) under uncultured bacterium. Its description in RNAcentral is "partial 16S ribosomal RNA". It matches the Rfam family "Bacterial small subunit ribosomal RNA", at positions 28 to 507 of the family's 1533-position model. The record is from RNAcentral.
GACGAACGCUGGCGGCGUGCUUAACACAUGCAAGUCGAACGGAAAGGCCCUGCUUUUGUGGGGUGCUCGAGUGGCGAACGGGUGAGUAACACGUGAGUAACCUGCCCUUGACUUUGGGAUAACUUCAGGAAACUGGGGCUAAUAUCGGAUAGGAGCUCCUGCUGCAUGUUGGGGGUUGGAAAGUUUCGGCGGUUGGGGAUGGACUCGCGGCUUAUCAGCUUGUUGGUGGGGUAGUGGCUUACCAAGGCUUUGACGGGUAGCCGGCCUGAGAGGGUGACCGGCCACAUUGGGACUGAGAUACGGCCCAGACUCCUACGGGAGGCAGCAGUGGGGAAUAUUGCACAAUGGGCGGAAGCCUGAUGCAGCAACGCCGCGUGCGGGAUGACGGCCGUCGGGUUGUAAACCGCUUUCGCCUGUGACGAAGCGUGAGUGACGGUAAUGGGUAAAGAAGCACCGGCUAACUACGUG